UCUUAUCGAGAGAGGCGGAGGGACUGGCCCUAUGAAGCCCGGCAACCUGAGAAAUCAAGGUGCUAAUUCCAGCAGCUUAGGCUGAAAGAUGAG
RNAcentral lists this non-coding RNA (93 nucleotides) under Peptostreptococcus russellii. Its description in RNAcentral is "SAM riboswitch (S box leader)". It matches the Rfam family "SAM riboswitch aptamer (S box leader)". From Rfam's summary of the family: The SAM riboswitch is found upstream of a number of genes which code for proteins involved in methionine or cysteine biosynthesis in Gram-positive bacteria. The SAM riboswitch acts at the level of transcription termination control. The record is from RNAcentral. Lineage: Bacteria; Bacillati; Bacillota; Clostridia; Peptostreptococcales; Peptostreptococcaceae.